Psammomys obesus (fat sand rat) is the source of this 522-nucleotide long non-coding RNA. RefSeq lists it as uncharacterized. The transcript has 3 exons. Lineage: Eukaryota; Metazoa; Chordata; Mammalia; Rodentia; Muridae. The record is from RefSeq and is a predicted model, not a curated record.
AGCUCAGUGGCGUCUCUUAUUUAGAGUACAUCCCCUUUCUCCUAACGCGCUAGAGGGACGGAGUCCUCGGAGCGACGCUCUAACUUGGCAAGGGAAGCCCCAAGGUGACUGAAAACCAAGGGCCCUCCUAUCUGUGGGCUGAGGACCUAACUGGGGCCCGCCGCCCUCCCCGACCAAGUCCAGCGGGCUCCGAGGGGCCGCCGGGCAGCAAGCGGGGCCUCGAGGCCGCUGUCGAGACCCCAACUCCGGAACGUGAAUAUCGUGGGGCCGAAGAGAUGGCUCAGCAGUUAAGAGCGCUGGCUGUUCUUCCAGAAGACCCAGGUUAAAUUCCCAGCACCCACAUGACAGCUCACAACUGUCUGCAACUCCAGUUCAGAGGAUCUGACACCCUAACACAGACAUAGGUGCAUAGAUAGAUAGAUAGAUAGAUAGAUAGAUAGAUAGAUAGAUAGAUAGACAGACAGAUGAGAUGGAUGUAAACACCAUGGUUCAAUCACAUCCACUCCUAAGUUCCUCUUCCCC